This 164-nucleotide ribosomal RNA is filed under the name Oryza malampuzhaensis. RNAcentral describes it as "5.8S ribosomal RNA". It matches the Rfam family "5.8S ribosomal RNA". From Rfam's summary of the family: 5.8S ribosomal RNA (5.8S rRNA) is a component of the large subunit of the eukaryotic ribosome. It is transcribed by RNA polymerase I as part of the 45S precursor that also contains 18S and 28S rRNA. Lineage: Eukaryota; Viridiplantae; Streptophyta; Magnoliopsida; Poales; Poaceae. The record is from RNAcentral.
CACACGACUCUCGGCAACGGAUAUCUCGGCUCUCGCAUCGAUGAAGAACGUAGCGAAAUGCGAUACCUGGUGUGAAUUGCAGAAUCCCGUGAACCAUCGAGUCUUUGAACGCAAGUUGCGCCCGAGGCCAUCCGGCCGAGGGCACGCCUGCCUGGGCGUCACAC